Molecule: long non-coding RNA, 154 nt
Filed under: Sinocyclocheilus grahami
Lineage: Eukaryota; Metazoa; Chordata; Actinopteri; Cypriniformes; Cyprinidae
Description: lncRNA (ENSSGRG00000024613.1)
Source: RNAcentral
CGUCAAUACCCAACCUGUAAAUGACAGUCACCUCGGGAUCUUAUUUGACUGGGAUCUUAAAAAGGUUCCCUGCUGAACUUGGCUGAGGUCAGUGUCUGGUCAAAUGGAGUCGGGCCUGUGCGUCUGUGGGGGUGCAGAUGAAGUGGUCAGCGGU